CAACCGUUGCGAUACGGCGUCGUCGCGAUUGCGCGUCGCGUAGGCGACGAGUUCGAUGCGCGCGCGGUCCA
This 71-nucleotide transfer RNA is filed under the name Paraburkholderia sabiae. Its description in RNAcentral is "tRNA-Arg". Lineage: Bacteria; Pseudomonadati; Pseudomonadota; Betaproteobacteria; Burkholderiales; Burkholderiaceae. The record is from RNAcentral.